UACGUAGGGGGCAAGCGUUGUCCGGAUUUAUUGGGCGUAAAGAGCGUGUAGGCGGCCUGGCAGGUCUGCUGUGAAAACUCGAGGCUCAACCUCGAGAUGUCGGCGGAAACCGUCUGGCUAGAGUCCGGAAGAGGAGAGUGGAAUUCCUGGUGUAGCGGUGAAAUGCGCAGAUAUCAGGAAGAACACCUAUGGCGAAGGCAGCUCUCUGGGACGGUACUGACGCUGAGACGCGAAAGCGUGGGGAGCGAACAGG
This 253-nucleotide ribosomal RNA is filed under the name uncultured bacterium. RNAcentral describes it as "partial 16S ribosomal RNA". It matches the Rfam family "Bacterial small subunit ribosomal RNA", at positions 524 to 776 of the family's 1533-position model. The record is from RNAcentral.